AUUGAACGCUGGCGGCAUGCUUUACACAUGCAAGUCGGACGGCAGCACAGAGAAGCUUGCUUCUUGGGUGGCGAGUGGCGAACGGGUGAGUAAUAUAUCGGAACGUACCGAGUAAUGGGGGAUAACUAAUCGAAAGAUUAGCUAAUACCGCAUAUUCUCUGAGGAGGAAAGCAGGGGACCUUCGGGCCUUGCGUUAUUCGAGCGGCCGAUAUCUGAUUAGCUAGUUGGUGGGGUAAAGGCCUACCAAGGCGACGAUCAGUAGCGGGUCUGAGAGGAAGAUCCGCCACACUGGGACUGAGACACGGCCCAGACUCCUACGGGAGGCAGCAGUGGGGAAUUUUGGACAAUGGGCGCAAGCCUGAUCCAGCCAUGCCGCGUGUCUGAAGAAGGCCUUCGGGUUGUAAAGGACUUUUGUCAGGGAAGAAAAGGCUGUUGCUAAUAUCGACAGCUGAUGACGGUACCUGAAGAAUAAGCACCGGCUAACUACGUG
This 490-nucleotide ribosomal RNA is filed under the name uncultured bacterium. RNAcentral describes it as "partial 16S ribosomal RNA". It matches the Rfam family "Bacterial small subunit ribosomal RNA", at positions 30 to 507 of the family's 1533-position model. The record is from RNAcentral.